Molecule: ribosomal RNA, 383 nt
Filed under: Proasellus walteri
Lineage: Eukaryota; Metazoa; Arthropoda; Malacostraca; Isopoda; Asellidae
Description: partial 16S ribosomal RNA
Rfam family: Bacterial large subunit ribosomal RNA
Source: RNAcentral
UUAAUUAGGAGCUGGAAUGAAAGAGGCGACGAAAUCUAGACUAUUUAAGUUUUAAUAUAAAUUGACAAGCGGGUCAAAAGGCCCGCAUGGGCCAGGGGGACGAUAAGACCCUAUAAAACUUUACUUUCGGGCCGGUACCCGGCGGGAUGUGAGGGGUCUGAGAGUUUAACUGGGGCGGUUAUUAUAGAAACAAUUAUACAUGAAAUAUAUUAUAUAGAUUGGUAGAACUCUCUAGAGAAAUAGAACAAGUUACUUUAGGGAUAACAGCGUGAUCCCCCCAGAGAGUCCUGAUUGGCGGGGGGGCUUACGACCUCGAUGUUGAAUUGGGGUUUCCUAUAUAAGCAAAUAUAUAUAUAGAUAGUCUGUUCGACUAUUAAACUCCC